Molecule: transfer RNA, 73 nt
Filed under: Bacteroidales bacterium
Lineage: Bacteria; Pseudomonadati; Bacteroidota; Bacteroidia; Bacteroidales
Also listed under: 1 other name
Description: tRNA-Phe
Rfam family: tRNA
About the family: Transfer RNA (tRNA) molecules are approximately 80 nucleotides in length. Their secondary structure includes four short double-helical elements and three loops (D, anti-codon, and T loops).
Source: RNAcentral
GGUGCUGUAGCUCAGUUGGUAGAGCAACGGACUGAAAAUCCGUGUGUCACUGGUUCAAUUCCCGUCAGCACCA